UACAGAGGGGGCAAGCGUUGUUCGGAAUUACUGGGCGUAAAGGGCGCGUAGGCGGCCCGCUAAGUCGAACGUGAAAUCCCCAGGCUCAACCUGGGAACUGCGUCCGAUACUGGCAGGCUUGAAUCCGGGAGAGGGAUGUGGAAUUCCUGGUGUAGCGGUGAAAUGCGCAGAUAUCAGGAGGAACACCGAUGGCGAAGGCAGGUCUCUGGGCAUUAACUGACGCUGAGGAGCGAAAGCAUGGGGAGCGAACAGG
RNAcentral lists this ribosomal RNA (253 nucleotides) under uncultured bacterium. RNAcentral's name for it is "partial 16S ribosomal RNA". It matches the Rfam family "Bacterial small subunit ribosomal RNA", at positions 524 to 776 of the family's 1533-position model. The record is from RNAcentral.